RNAcentral lists this ribosomal RNA (301 nucleotides) under uncultured bacterium. RNAcentral's name for it is "partial 16S ribosomal RNA". It matches the Rfam family "Bacterial small subunit ribosomal RNA", at positions 509 to 807 of the family's 1533-position model. The record is from RNAcentral.
CAGCAGCCGCGGGAAUACAGAGGGUGCGAGCGUUAAUCGGAAUUACUGGGCGUAAAGCGCACGCAGGCAGUCUGUCAAGUCAGAUGUGAAAUCCCCGGGCUUAACCUGGGAACUGCAUUUGAAACUGGCAGGCUAGAGUCUUGUAGAGGGGGGUAGAAUUCCAGGUGUAGCGGUGAAAUGCGUAGAGAUCUGGAGGAAUACCGGUGGCGAAGGCGGCCCCCUGGACAAAGACUGACGCUCAGGUGCGAAAGCGUGGGGAGCAAACAGGAUUAGAUACCCGAGUAGUCCCUGUCUCUUAUAC